RNAcentral lists this ribosomal RNA (208 nucleotides) under uncultured bacterium. Its description in RNAcentral is "partial 16S ribosomal RNA". It matches the Rfam family "Bacterial small subunit ribosomal RNA", at positions 568 to 774 of the family's 1533-position model. The record is from RNAcentral.
UCCGUAGGUGGACGAUUAAGUCAGGGGUGAAAGUCUGCGGCUCAACCGUAGAAUUGCCCUUGAUACUGGUCGUCUUGAAUCGUUGUGAAGUGGCUGGAAUGAGUAGUGUAGCGGUGAAAUGCAUAGAUAUUACUCAGAACACCGAUUGCGAAGGCAGGUCACUAACAACGUAUUGACACUGAUGGACGAAAGCGGUGGGGAGCGAACA